This 429-nucleotide ribosomal RNA is filed under the name Streptococcus sp. RNAcentral's name for it is "bacterial SSU rRNA". It matches the Rfam family "Bacterial small subunit ribosomal RNA", at positions 355 to 776 of the family's 1533-position model. Lineage: Bacteria; Bacillati; Bacillota; Bacilli; Lactobacillales; Streptococcaceae. The record is from RNAcentral.
UAGGGAAUCUUCGGCAAUGGGGGGGACCCUGACCGAGCAACGCCGCGUGAGUGAAGAAGGUUUUCGGAUCGUAAAGCUCUGUUGUAAGAGAAGAACGUGUGUGAGAGUGGAAAGUUCACACAGUGACGGUAACUUACCAGAAAGGGACGGCUAACUACGUGCCAGCAGCCGCGGUAAUACGUAGGUCCCGAGCGUUGUCCGGAUUUAUUGGGCGUAAAGCGAGCGCAGGCGGUUUGAUAAGUCUGAAGUAAAAGGCUGUGGCUUAACCAUAGUAUGCUUUGGAAACUGUCAAACUUGAGUGCAGAAGGGGAGAGUGGAAUUCCAUGUGUAGCGGUGAAAUGCGUAGAUAUAUGGAGGAACACCGGUGGCGAAAGCGGCUCUCUGGUCUGUAACUGACGCUGAGGCUCGAAAGCGUGGGGAGCAAACAGG